UUGCUUGAUUGGCCAUCGUAUCUACUAAGAUUUGAACAAUACUGAGAAGAUUAACAUGGUCCUAUGCAAGGAUGAAAUGCAAAUUCACCAACUGUUCUGUAUUGAA
This is a small nuclear RNA of Cricetulus griseus (Chinese hamster), 106 nucleotides long. The record is from Ensembl. NCBI's taxonomy places the organism in Eukaryota, Metazoa, Chordata, Mammalia, Rodentia, Cricetidae.